RNAcentral lists this ribosomal RNA (301 nucleotides) under uncultured bacterium. RNAcentral describes it as "partial 16S ribosomal RNA". It matches the Rfam family "Bacterial small subunit ribosomal RNA", at positions 512 to 808 of the family's 1533-position model. The record is from RNAcentral.
CAGUCCCGCGGGAACACGUAGGGUGCAAGCGUUAAUCGGAAUUACUGGGCGUAAAGCGUGCGCAGGCGGUUAUAUAAGACAGAUGUGAAAUCCCCGGGCUCAACCUGGGAACUGCAUUUGUGACUGUAUAGCUAGAGUACGGCAGAGGGGGAUGGAAUUCCGCGUGUAGCAGUGAAAUGCGUAGAUAUGCGGAGGAACACCGAUGGCGAAGGCAAUCCCCUGGGCCUGUACUGACGCUCAUGCACGAAAGCGUGGGGAGCAAACAGGAUUAGAUACCCGCGUAGUCCCUGUCUCUUAUACA